Non-coding RNA from Nicotiana tabacum (common tobacco), 1075 nucleotides. NCBI's taxonomy places the organism in Eukaryota, Viridiplantae, Streptophyta, Magnoliopsida, Solanales, Solanaceae. The record is from RefSeq and is a predicted model, not a curated record.
UUUAUCGGAGAAAAUCACUGUGGGGGAUUCAUAACAUUCUUUCCUUGAACACAAUUCAUUUGGAAAUUUUAAAAAUUUGAUUCUUUAGAUUCUGUGGCGGAAUUUUCUAAUAAUUUUUCUUGCAGAUUGUUUUGUGGCUCUGCCGAGAUUCAUUUACCAUUUGAUUGUUAUUCCUUGGCAUUAUUUUUUCCAAGACGAGGGCUUUCAGAGAAAGUUGUAAACUGAUCACUGAAAAGUGCAAAAGGACGGCUAAAUUAGGUUGACUUACUAAGGAAAGUUUUGUCGGCUCAAAACAUCUUAUUAGCUAGUCCUAGAAGCACCAUGAACAUGAAUCACCCUCAUCCAUAUGGUGAAGAUCAAGAUGAAGCCACUGUCAUGGGCUUUGAAGUUGCAAGAUCACCUGAUGCAAGUUACAACAAUGUGUAUCCUGGGCAUGAAGAUGUAGGGAGGGAACCACCGGCGGUACCGCCACAUCUGCAUCACACCUUGCUAAACCACCCAACAACAAGAGAUCAAUCCACAUCCCUCCCUUUGCCACAGAACGUGGUGCUAAACCAUCUCUAUAUUGAGAACAGAGAAGCCACGAGGUCAGUUGUAGCACUUGGUGUAACACAUCGUUUUCGCUCAAAAUAUGUUACGGUCAUGCUUUACAAGCCCGUUCAAGGAAGGUGAGCUAGCAUGUCGAACAUGCCUGAAUGUAUACACCAUCUUUGGCUUGUACUCUGAUGGAAAACAGUAGACGUAAAUACACAGCAGUCUGCAGUGGAGAAUGUUUAUUUCUUCCCAGGACUUGAAUAAUUGUAGUUAGAUGUUCGAUGGUUUUAAAAAGUUUACAUGUAUUAUGGCAAAAAGUUAGUGAUGUCCCUGUUAGUUUGGCUUAGCAAUUAUGUAACAUUGUGCGGUUAUUGGACUAGCGCAUCAAUCUUGAUGAGUGUAAAGCAUCUGCUUAGAAUUAGGAAUUUGGGAAGUUUACAUGUAAUAUGGCAAGAAGUUACUAGUGUCCCUAUUAGGUUGGCUUACGAUUCUGCUUGUGAAGUUAUUGGAGUAAGGCAUUCGAUGUUGAUGAGUGUGAAAA